This 425-nucleotide ribosomal RNA is filed under the name uncultured bacterium. RNAcentral describes it as "bacterial SSU rRNA". It matches the Rfam family "Bacterial small subunit ribosomal RNA", at positions 917 to 1344 of the family's 1533-position model. The record is from RNAcentral.
GGGCCCGCACAAGCGGUGGAGCAUGUGGUUUAAUUCGAUGAUACGCGAGGAACCUUACCAGGGCUUAAAUGGGAGAUGACAGGGGCAGAGACGCCCUUUUCUUCGGACAUCUUUCAAGGUGCUGCAUGGUUGUCGUCAGCUCGUGCCGUGAGGUGUCAGGUUAAGUCCUAUAACGAGCGCAACCCCUACCGUUAGUUGCCAGCGAUUCAAGUCGGGGACUCUAACGGGACUGCCGGUGCAAACCGUGAGGAAGGUGGGGACGACGUCAAAUCAUCACGGCCCUUACGGCCUGGGCUACACACGUGCUACAAUGGCUAGGACAGACGGCCGCAAACCCGUGAGGGGGAGCCAAUCCGACAAACCUAGUCGUAGUCCGGAUCGGAGUCUGCAACUCGACUCCAUGAAGUCGGAAUCGCUAGUAAUCG